ACGGUCGUAGCGCAGAGGUCGUCGCGCCCCAAAGCGAUGCGGAGGACGCCGGUUCGAAUCCGGUCGGCCGUGUCA
Molecule: transfer RNA, 75 nt
Filed under: Herbidospora galbida
Lineage: Bacteria; Bacillati; Actinomycetota; Actinomycetes; Streptosporangiales; Streptosporangiaceae
Description: Herbidospora sp. NEAU-GS14 tRNA-OTHER
Rfam family: tRNA
About the family: Transfer RNA (tRNA) molecules are approximately 80 nucleotides in length. Their secondary structure includes four short double-helical elements and three loops (D, anti-codon, and T loops).
Source: RNAcentral